UGCAGUCGACGAUGAUGGACCAGCUUGCUGGUUUGGAUUAGUGGCGAACGGGYGAGUAACACGUGAGUAACCUGCCCUUCACUUUGGGAUAAGCCUUGGAAACGGGGUCUAAUACCGAGUAUUCACAUUUUGCCGCAUGGUGGGGUGUGGAAAGCUUUUGUGGUGAGGGAUGGACUCGCGGCCUAUCAGCUUGAUGGUGGGGUAGUGGCCUACCAUGGCUUUGACGGGUAGCCGGCCUGAGAGGGUGACCGGCCACACUGGGACUGAGACACGGCCCAGACUCCUACGGGAGGCAGCAGUGGGGAAUAUUGCACAAUGGGCGGAAGCCUGAUGCAGCGACGCCGCGUGGGGGAUGAAGGCUUUCGGGUCGUAAACUCCUUUCAGCAGGGACGAAGCUUUUGUGACGGUACCUGCAGAAGAAKYACCGGCUAACUACGUGCCAGCAGCCGCGGUAAUACGUAGGGUGCGAGCGUUGUCCGGAAUUAUUGGGCGUAAAGAGCUUGUAGGCGGUUUGUCGCGUCUGCCGUGAAAGCCCAGGGCUUAACCCUGGGUCUGCGGUGGGUACGGGCAGACUAGAGUGUGGUAGGGGAGACUGGAAUUCCUGGUGUAGC
RNAcentral lists this ribosomal RNA (611 nucleotides) under Actinomycetales bacterium RZ3MS16. RNAcentral describes it as "bacterial SSU rRNA". It matches the Rfam family "Bacterial small subunit ribosomal RNA", at positions 56 to 679 of the family's 1533-position model. The record is from RNAcentral. Lineage: Bacteria; Bacillati; Actinomycetota; Actinomycetes; Actinomycetales.